GCUGAACUAGCUCAGUGGUCAGCGCGUCGAGCUAACAACCCGGAGCUCGCGGGUUCGAUUCUCCUCACUGGAA
Molecule: non-coding RNA, 73 nt
Organism: Acanthoscelides obtectus
Lineage: Eukaryota; Metazoa; Arthropoda; Insecta; Coleoptera; Chrysomelidae
Source: the annotation of a GenBank genome assembly